UCUUGGAGGGUUUGCUACAGUGCUUGCCCUUUUUAGUUGCUCUGUAGGAGUCCUCCUUGUU
MicroRNA precursor from Oreochromis aureus, 61 nucleotides. The record is from Ensembl. Lineage: Eukaryota; Metazoa; Chordata; Actinopteri; Cichliformes; Cichlidae.